RNA transcript from Panicum virgatum (switchgrass), 2987 nucleotides. RefSeq lists it as uncharacterized. NCBI's taxonomy places the organism in Eukaryota, Viridiplantae, Streptophyta, Magnoliopsida, Poales, Poaceae. The transcript is spliced from 6 exons. The record is from RefSeq and is a predicted model, not a curated record.
CCCUCAAAAGACGAACUCGACGGGCAUGGGUUGAGCUUUCGCGGCCGCUACCACUCGGUAUCUACCGUAGUCACAGCGGCGCCAGCGCCAAGAGGCAAAGGGAGUCUCCCGAAUGGUAUUGGUAUGUGUGUCGCUGUAGGAAGCCACAAGCAGUUGCAGUAGCACUGGGCUACUAGGUGUCAUUGGCCUCCCUUGCCGCCCUCAUUGGCCUCCCUGCUUCUCCCUCUCCCACAGAUCUUGGGCUUCUUGUUCGACCUCCACAACCACCUGCACAACCCAGGCAGCAACCUCGGAGAGGGACACAGCGGCUGCAGGCUUGCAGUUUCAUUUCAAGAGGCAAAAGCUUGUUUUGGAAUUCUCCGGCUGGGCAUGGUGUGUCAGCAAGGAUGCCCAACGAGGUUCUGUUUAUUCAGACCUGAGGGAUUCAGAGAAGCCAAGAAAUGUGCAGUUAAUUUCAGUUUCCUCUUGACUUCGUGUCCUCAUCAAGGUUUCAGAGCUCAGACAGGCGCCAUCGCCUGAAGCAAACAAGUUUCUAAGUUGGCAUCUCCUGUCCCUUGCAAAAAUUGUGCUGUCUCAACAUAAUAUAAUCUGGCCAUCUCAGUUUGUCUAUUCCUCCAUCUCUGUUUCUUCCAGAAAAAAAAAUACAAUAUGCAUCAAGACAGUUUCAGAUCAGUGGUUUGCAGAUCCCUUUCGAAGAGCCUCCCCCCCCAGAAGCAAAGAUGGCAGCUAUCCUGAAACAGUCCAAUGUGAUCUCCCUUAUGUUGUUACACUGCAACCUUCUGUUUAUCGAAACUACCAAGGCCGGGAACAGAGCACGUUGCAAAGCUACCGGGAGGAAAGAUCCAUGUCCUUCCAUGGGGACUAUCUCAUGCCGCCCUCGCUAUCCAAGCAUUUUGCCGAGGACCUCCUAAGAGACGCCAUGGAUCUCCAGGAGUCCCUUGCUAUGCUUGAGAAAUUCCAAACUGCAUCACAGAGCAUGAGAUUAUCCAACAAGAAGAGAAGACCAGAAACUGGUGAAAAAUCUCCAGAAAUAGAUACCAUAAUCCGUGAAGUCCUCCUGAGACCGUCAAAUGCUAAGCAGGCACUGCCAAGAACUGUUAACAAUGGAUUGCAUGGGCAGCUAAGCAAUUCUACUGAUGAGUUGAAGAAUGUGGUCAAGGAUAGUUUCUACAGGAAGAACCUCCCGUCAGUCUCCACCAAUAAUGACCAGGCCUCUUUGAGCCAGUCAGCACGGUACUUGCCAAACAAUUAUUUGAUGUCCAAUACUUCUCAGCAGAAGAAAGUGUCGCCAAGACCACUUCCAUCUUGUGCAGCAGUGCAACCUGACAAGUCUAAAGCCCCAAGUUUGGUAGCCAAGCUCAUGGGCCUUGAUGGAUUUCCCUCACAAAAAGACAACUCUAAAAUGAAGGACGAGAAGAUUAAGGCAGUAAGUUCACCAAGAGCACAGUUUGAUAUUGAGAUGCCCAGGUCACAAAGGCUACAGACACAAUUAUUUGGAGAGGGGUCUGGUUCUGAUGCGGAGAUGCCUAGGUCAGAAAAGCUAGCACCAGAACAUCACAAUGUUCGGACGUAUUAUACUAAUUCACAGAAGGGCAUCGCUCCUUCAUAUAAUACUGUAGUGACUAAUGAGACCAGACCGAUGAAAUCAAGUCACAGACAGAGAAACAUUGAGCAGGUUCGACCGAAAUCCCCAAAAGAAAUCAAGAUUUCUGCACCUACAAGCAGAAAGCAACAGAUCAAGGAGACAACUGAGGUCAAUGGGAGAACCAGGGAGAAACAAAAACCUAAUUCAGCUUCAUGGAACAGAGGAGGUAGGGAGGAUGCAAAGGCUAAAAUAGUAUCAGCAUCUCGUAAUACUAAAGUGGUGAAAAAUUCUGAUAAGAAAUUGGUAUCAAGUAGCAGUCGCUCUUGUGACUCAGUGAAGCCCGUCUUACACAGAACACAUAAUAAUUCCAGGGAGAAGACAGUAUCCAAGAGAAAUGUCAAGAGUUCAAUUAUUGAUGAGUUAGUGGCAUAUGAGAUACAGAGGGAGAUCUUUCAUGUACUAGAUCAAAUUGACGGUCCAUCCACUGAACAUAGUGCAACACCUAGCAAUGAAAGCUAUCCAAAUGCCGAUUGGGAGACAGAAUCUUCUGUGGACUAUACUCAGAAAGACUCUUGCGAAUCCAAUGAAGCUUCGCUAUCUACCAGCCAUGCUGAAAGAAUAGGUUCAACUGACGGAGAUGCUAUUCACCCAUCAUCAACAGACAUAACACCUAUAAAGGAAGCUGAGAUAAAAGAUGAGAUCAUUUUGCUUCUCCUAAGUGAUAAGUCUUUCCUGAGCAGAGCAGCCAAACGCAUUGGCAUCGAUUUGUAUGAGCAUCCAAGCAACCAACACGAUGGAAUUUCCAAGGUUGAAAUGAAGAACCAUAGGAUCUAUUUGGACACCACAGUGGAGCAGCUGGAACGAAAACAACAUCAGCAAAAUAGUCUGUGUUACACUGGAUUUCAGGGACAGAAAUGCAGAGCGACAGCAUAUUUGUCAUUGGGGGAAUUGCUAAGAGAGAUCAGCAAUGGGAUUAGAAAGCUGAAUGGCUAUUCCGACAGAGACGACACGGGUGGCAUGAAAGAUAGCCUGGACACGAAACUGGAGAGGGAUCUCAGGUUCUCGGAUGAGUUGAUCAAUGCUGUGUGGGACAUGGGGUGGCGGAAUUUUAUCUGCGCCGAAGAAACAGGGUGCUUCAUCAGCGAUGCUGUGGAGGACAUUCUGUCGUUGCUUAUUGAGGAAGCUGCUUUGGAGAUGUGCAUUCACUGACCUGAAAACAUACAGCAGAGAGGUGCUCAUAUCACCGUGAAGAUCUAACUUGUAACUUGAGACUGAACUAGUUGUGUUUUCUGUUAGGUUUCAAGUAAUUCCACCCGUGUAAGGAGCUAAGAGCCGGUGUAGUAGGCUGUCUGUAACUAGUUCCCAUUUUCUCAAGAAACAUAUUUGGUGAAGUUGUGUUUUC